AGUAUUUAAAUAAUAAAAAGUCUGGCCUGCCCAGUGAGUAUAUUAAAUGGCUGCAACGAGAGUUGUACUAAGGUAGCGCGAUAAUUUGUCUCUUAAUUAGAGAAUGGUAUGAAGGGUUAGACGUGGGAUUAUUGUCUCUAAAAAAUACAGUUAAGUUUCCUUUUAAAUGAAAAGGUUUAAAUUUAUUAAAAGACGAGAAGACCCUGUCGAGCUUAAUUAAAUAAAAAACUAGAUAUGGUUAAAUGAAAAGUGUUAAUAGUUUAAUUGUUGGCUGAGUUUUUAAUUGAAGUUUAGUUGGGGAGAGCUGAGUUUAAGGUAAUAAACUUAAGAAAUACUAAAGAUCCUCUUUGAGAGAAGUUAGCAAAAGCUACCGCAGGGAUAACAGCCGUAAUUCUUUUUAAGAGAUCUUAUUGAGGGAAGAGUUUGCNACCUCGAUGUUGGAUUANAAAAACUUUUUGGUGUAGCAGCUAGAAGUUGUAAGACUGUUCGUCUUUUAAUUUUCU
RNAcentral lists this ribosomal RNA (503 nucleotides) under Ruditapes philippinarum (Manila clam). RNAcentral's name for it is "partial 16S ribosomal RNA". It matches the Rfam family "Bacterial large subunit ribosomal RNA", at positions 1832 to 2597 of the family's 2925-position model. Lineage: Eukaryota; Metazoa; Mollusca; Bivalvia; Venerida; Veneridae. The record is from RNAcentral.